Molecule: ribosomal RNA, 585 nt
Filed under: uncultured bacterium
Lineage: Bacteria
Description: partial 16S ribosomal RNA
Rfam family: Bacterial small subunit ribosomal RNA
Source: RNAcentral
UGGGGAACUUUUGGACAAUGGGCGAAAGCCUGAUCCAGCAAUGCCGCGUGUGUGAAGAAGGCCUUCGGGUUGUAAAGCACUUUUGUCCGGAAAGAAAUCCUUGGCUCUAAUACAGUCGGGGGAUGACGGUACCGGAAGAAUAAGCACCGGCUAACUACGUGCCAGCAGCCGCGGUAAUACGUAGGGUGCAAGCGUUAAUCGGAAUUACUGGGCGUAAAGCGUGCGCAGGCGGUUUGCUAAGACCGAUGUGAAAUCCCCGGGCUCAACCUGGGAACUGCAUUGGUGACUGGCAGGCUAGAGUAUGGCAGAGGGGGGUAGAAUUCCACGUGUAGCAGUGAAAUGCGUAGAGAUGUGGAGGAAUACCGAUGGCGAAGGCAGCCCCCUGGGCCAAUACUGACGCUCAUGCACGAAAGCGUGGGGAGCAAACAGGAUUAGAUACCCUGGUAGUCCACGCCCUAAACGAUGUCAACUAGUUGUUGGGGAUUCAUUUCCUAGUAACGUAGCUAACGCGUGAAGUUGACCGCCUGGGGAGUACGGUCGCAAGAUUAAAACUUAAAGGAAUUGACGGGGUCAUAGCUGUUUCCU